This 305-nucleotide ribosomal RNA is filed under the name uncultured bacterium. RNAcentral's name for it is "bacterial SSU rRNA". It matches the Rfam family "Bacterial small subunit ribosomal RNA", at positions 335 to 657 of the family's 1533-position model. The record is from RNAcentral.
UCCCUACGGGGCGCAGCAGUGGGGAAUAUUGCACAAUGGGGGAAACCCUGAUGCAGCGACGCCGCGUGAGUGAAGAAGUAAUUCGUUACGUAAAGCUCUAUCAGCAGGGAAGAAAAUGACGGCACCUGAGUAAGAAGCCCCGGCUAACUACGUGCCAGCAGCCGCGGUAAUACGUAGGGGGCAAGCGUUAUCCGGAUUUACUGGGUGUAAAGGGAGCGUAGGUGGCAUGGCAAGCCAGAAGUGAAAACCCGGGGCUUAACCCCGCGGAUUGCUUUUGGAACUGUCAGGCUGGAGUGCAGGAGGGG